RNAcentral lists this ribosomal RNA (156 nucleotides) under Dioszegia crocea. Its description in RNAcentral is "5.8S ribosomal RNA". It matches the Rfam family "5.8S ribosomal RNA". Rfam says of the family: 5.8S ribosomal RNA (5.8S rRNA) is a component of the large subunit of the eukaryotic ribosome. It is transcribed by RNA polymerase I as part of the 45S precursor that also contains 18S and 28S rRNA. Lineage: Eukaryota; Fungi; Basidiomycota; Tremellomycetes; Tremellales; Bulleribasidiaceae. The record is from RNAcentral.
UAACUUUCAACAACGGAUCUCUUGGCUCUCACGUCGAUGAAGAACGCAGCGAAAUGCGAUAAGUAAUGUGAAUUGCAGAAUUCAGUGAAUCAUCGAAUCUUUGAACGCAGAUUGCGCCCUUUGGUAUUCCGAAGGGCAUGCCUGUUUGAGUGUCUU